AUACGGAAGGUGCGAGCGUUAAUCGGAAUUACUGGGCGUAAAGCGCACGUAGGUGGCUUGGUAAGUCGGAUGUGAAAGCCCCGGGCUCAACCUGGGAACUGCAUUCGAUACUGCCGAGCUAGAGUACGAAAGAGGGGGGUGGAAUUCCAGGUGUAGCGGUGAAAUGCGUAGAGAUCUGGAGGAACACCAGUGGCGAAGGCGGCCCCCUGGUUCGAUACUGACGCUGAGGUGCGAAAGCGUGGGGAGC
Molecule: ribosomal RNA, 247 nt
Filed under: uncultured bacterium
Lineage: Bacteria
Description: partial 16S ribosomal RNA
Rfam family: Bacterial small subunit ribosomal RNA
Source: RNAcentral